GCUUGGCUGCUACGUUGGUGAAUGCCUAUCAAGUUUUUUGAUCUAUGCUUGAGUUAUAAGGGAACCAACAGCAUUUAUGCGGCAGUAAACCGAGCAAGUACUCGGAAACAGAAGCGUAAAGCGUAAGUACCCACCUGGUUUAUCCAGGUCAUAAACUGAGGUAAAACGGCGUGGCGGUCGGCUU
RNAcentral lists this non-coding RNA (184 nucleotides) under Candidatus Altimarinota bacterium. RNAcentral's name for it is "6S RNA". It matches the Rfam family "6S / SsrS RNA". From Rfam's summary of the family: E. coli 6S RNA was the first non coding RNA to be sequenced, but its function was unknown until recently. RNAcentral also lists the same sequence under 2 other names. Lineage: Bacteria; Candidatus Altimarinota. The record is from RNAcentral.